UGAGGAAACAAACGUGAUGCCUGGCC
Molecule: non-coding RNA, 26 nt
Filed under: Homo sapiens (human)
Lineage: Eukaryota; Metazoa; Chordata; Mammalia; Primates; Hominidae
Source: RNAcentral